Molecule: ribosomal RNA, 208 nt
Filed under: uncultured bacterium
Lineage: Bacteria
Description: partial 16S ribosomal RNA
Rfam family: Bacterial small subunit ribosomal RNA
Source: RNAcentral
CUCGUAGGCGGCCAACUAAGUCACUACGUGAAAUCCCUCGGCUUAACCGGGGAACUGCGUCUGAUACUGGAUGGCUUGAGUUCGGGAGAGGGAUGCGGAAUUCCAGGUGUAGCGGUGAAAUGCGUAGAUAUCUGGAGGAACACCGGUGGCGAAGGCGGCAUCCUGGACCGAUACUGACGCUGAGGAGCGAAAGCCAGGGGAGCAAACG